RNAcentral lists this ribosomal RNA (468 nucleotides) under uncultured bacterium. RNAcentral's name for it is "partial 16S ribosomal RNA". It matches the Rfam family "Bacterial small subunit ribosomal RNA", at positions 28 to 507 of the family's 1533-position model. The record is from RNAcentral.
GACGAACGCUGGCGGCGUGCUUAACACAUGCAAGUCGAACGGAAAGGCCCUGCUUUUGUGGGGUGCUCGAGUGGCGAACGGGUGAGUAACACGUGAGUAACCUGCCCUUGACUUUGGGAUAACUUCAGGAAACUGGGGCUAAUACCGGAUAUGAGCUCCUGCUGCAUGGUGGGGGUUGGAAAGUUUCGGCGGUUGGGGAUGGACUCGCGGCUUAUCAGCUUGUUGGUGGGGUAGUGGCUUACCAAGGCUUUGACGGGUAGCCGGCCUGAGAGGGUGACCGGCCACAUUGGGACUGAGAUACGGCCCAGACUCCUACGGGAGGCAGCAGUGGGGAAUAUUGCACAAUGGGAGGAAGCCUGAUGCAGCAACGCCGCGUGCGGGAUGACGGCCUUCGGGUUGUAAACCGCUUUCGCCUGUGACGAAGCGUGAGUGACGGUAAUGGGUAAAGAAGCACCGGCUAACUACGUG